UACGUAGGGUGCAAGCGUUGUCCGGAAUUAUUGGGCGUAAAGAGCUCGUAGGCGGUCUGUCGCGUCUGCUGUGAAAACUCAGGGCUUAACCCUGAGCCUGCAGUGGGUACGGGCAGACUAGAGUGUGGUAGGGGAGAUCGGAAUUCCUGGUGUAGCGGUGGAAUGCGCAGAUAUCAGGAGGAACACCGGUGGCGAAGGCGGAUCUCUGGGCCAUAACUGACGCUGAGGAGCGAAAGCAUGGGGAGCGAACAGG
RNAcentral lists this ribosomal RNA (253 nucleotides) under uncultured bacterium. RNAcentral describes it as "partial 16S ribosomal RNA". It matches the Rfam family "Bacterial small subunit ribosomal RNA", at positions 524 to 776 of the family's 1533-position model. The record is from RNAcentral.